Long non-coding RNA from Poecilia latipinna (sailfin molly), 766 nucleotides. RefSeq lists it as uncharacterized. Lineage: Eukaryota; Metazoa; Chordata; Actinopteri; Cyprinodontiformes; Poeciliidae. The transcript has 4 exons. The record is from RefSeq and is a predicted model, not a curated record.
ACCACAACCACAAGUGCUCCAACCACAACCACAACUACAGCCAGUCCAACAACAACCACAGUAGCACCGACCACAACCACAAGUGCUCCAACCACAACCACAGCAGCUCCAACCACAACCACAAGUGCUCCAACCACAACCACAGCAGCUCCAACCACAACAACAGCAGCUCCACCCACAACCACUGCUACUCCAACCACCACAACAGAUGCUCCAACAACAACCACAGCUGCUCCAACCACAACCACAGCAGCUCCCACAACAACAACAGUUGCUCCAACCACAACCACAGCAACUCCCACAACAACAACAGUAGCACCGACCACAACCACCGCGGCUCCAACCACAACAACAACUGCACCAACCACAACCACAGCUGCACCAACCACAACCACAGCUGCUCCAACCACAGUUUCUACAACAGCAACAACUACCAUUGGCACAACUAAAAUGACAGUUGUCCGCCGGAUGACCUUCAGGUCUCCUAAGGAUAUCUUUACCAGCGAUCUUGAAAUCAGUUCUUCGACUGCUUUCAACCAACGAUCCCAACUUUUGUUGAGUCGUCUUUAUGCCCUCUACAAAGGAGCAUUUCCAUCAUUCUUGAGUUUGACAAUUGUCUCAUUCAGAAGGGGAUCAGUUAUCAACACGCUGGACCUCGUAUUUGAAGCAACAAAUCUUCCGAGUGAUCAAGAUAUCGAAAAUGUUUUAAUCAAUGAGGCACCAAACAUAGAUGAAUUCUCAGUGGAAGAGUCAACGGUUUGCAUUG